Molecule: ribosomal RNA, 122 nt
Filed under: Agaricales sp.
Lineage: Eukaryota; Fungi; Basidiomycota; Agaricomycetes; Agaricales
Description: partial small subunit ribosomal RNA
Rfam family: Eukaryotic small subunit ribosomal RNA
Source: RNAcentral
UUGUACACACCGCCCGUCGCUACUACCGAUUGAAUGGCUCAGUGAGGUCUCCGGAUUGGCUUUGGGGAGCCGGCAACGGCACCCUAUUGCUGAGAAGCUGAUCAAACUUGGUCAUUUAGAGG